GUAAGAACAGGUUUUACGUAAGAAAUGCCUGUAGACAGGGAAAAUCACUGACUUGGGUCCAGCUCUACCAAAUGCCUUGGGGUGUGAGCAGCCAAAGGCAACAGACUCC
Empidonax traillii (willow flycatcher) is the source of this 109-nucleotide long non-coding RNA. RefSeq lists it as uncharacterized. The transcript has 2 exons. Lineage: Eukaryota; Metazoa; Chordata; Aves; Passeriformes; Tyrannidae. The record is from RefSeq and is a predicted model, not a curated record.